RNAcentral lists this ribosomal RNA (497 nucleotides) under uncultured Chlamydiae bacterium. RNAcentral's name for it is "bacterial SSU rRNA". It matches the Rfam family "Bacterial small subunit ribosomal RNA", at positions 355 to 842 of the family's 1533-position model. The record is from RNAcentral. Lineage: Bacteria; Pseudomonadati; Chlamydiota; Chlamydiia.
UCGAGAAUCUUUCGCAAUGGGCGAAAGCCUGACGAAGCGACGCCGUGUGUGUGAUGAAGGCCUCGGGUUGUAAAGCACUUUCGCUAGGGAACAAGAGAGGUUGGCUAAUAUCCAGCCGAUUUGAGGGUACCUGGUAAAGAAGCACCGGCUAACUCCGUGCCAGCAGCUGCGGUAAUACGGAGGGUGCAAGCGUUAAUCGGAUUUAUUGGGCGUAAAGAGCACGUAGGCGGAGUGGAAAGUUAGAUGUGAAAUCCCGAGGCUCAACUUCGGACACGCAUCUAAAAACUCCCAUUCUAGAGGAUGGAAGGAGAAAAGGGAAUUCCACGUGUAGCGGUGAAAUGCGUAGAUAUGUGGAAGAACACCGGUGGCGAAGGCGCUUUUCUAUUUUAUUCCUGACGCUGAGGUGCGAAAGCAAGGGGAGCAAACAGGAUUAGAUACCCUGGUAGUCCUUGCCGUAAACGGAUGUACACUUGAUGUAACAGGUCUCAACCCCUGUU